Molecule: unclassified non-coding RNA, 330 nt
Filed under: soil metagenome
Description: partial contains 5.8S ribosomal RNA, internal transcribed spacer 2, and large subunit ribosomal RNA
Rfam family: 5.8S ribosomal RNA (bases 1-120)
Source: RNAcentral
GAUGAAGAACGCAGCGAAAUGCGAUAAGUAAUGUGAAUUGCAGAAUUCCGUGAAUCAUCGAAUUUUUGAACGCACAUUGCGCCCUCUGGUAUUCCGGGGGGCAUGCCUGUUCGAGCGUCAUUACAACCCUCAAGCUUUGCUUGGUAUUGGACAUUGCCAGUUUCUGGCAGGUCUUAAAAUCAGUGGCGGUGCCAUUUGGCUUCAAGCGUAGUAAUUCUUCUCGCUUUGGAGAUCCAAGUGGUUACUUGCCAAUAACCCCCAAUUUUUUCAGGUUGACCUCGGAUCAGGUAGGGAUACCCGCUGAACUUAAGCAUAUCAAUAAGCGGAGGA